Molecule: long non-coding RNA, 187 nt
Organism: Ochotona curzoniae (black-lipped pika)
Lineage: Eukaryota; Metazoa; Chordata; Mammalia; Lagomorpha; Ochotonidae
Exons: 3
Source: RefSeq, a predicted model, not a curated record
AGGGCAACCGCCCAAGAGGCAGCAUCUUCCCCUCAAGGAAGGAAGAUGCUUGGGCAGAAACAUCCAGGAGAUUCUGCGCUCUCUGGUCACAUGGGAAAGAGGCUGUCUCUGCUGCAGAGACUACAUCUGCUCCCAAGUGGAGGAACCUUGAACUUGGGGAGUUCUGCCUUCCAGAUGAAGAUGUGAA